UACAUUUGAGGUUAAACUUGACAAUCAGGGAUUUAUUUGACCGACAGAGACAAACUUGAGGGACCAAAACAUGAGUUUUAUUAGUUAUGGGACCAAAAUGAAAACUGGAAAUUAAUUAGAGGACCAAAUGACCUAUUAAGCCAAAAUUUGAUUCUAAAAAGCACUUUGAAUUUCUGCACUGAUUUGAUAUAUCUUAGAAAUUCUUAAGUCUAAAGUAUAUUAUUGCAUUGUAUUGUGAAAACCACUGAUUGUAUAUCAAGUGUUCAAGUCAAACAAUUUUCUGUGUAAUUCUGUUUGAUUAGAAGUCUCUUGCUUUAGUGCUUGAGCAUUGGAAGUCUCUCGCCUGCGUGCUUGAGCAUUUGGGAAGUCUCAUACUAGAUAGUAUUGAGCAGUUGUAAUCUGUGUGAUUAUUUCUUAGUGGAAAUCUCCUUGGAAGUGCAAGGGGGACUGGACU
This 454-nucleotide long non-coding RNA is filed under the name Medicago truncatula (barrel medic). RNAcentral's name for it is "long non-coding RNA (MTRU_LNC006755)". The record is from RNAcentral. Lineage: Eukaryota; Viridiplantae; Streptophyta; Magnoliopsida; Fabales; Fabaceae.